Ribosomal RNA from Carassius auratus (goldfish), 119 nucleotides. The record is from Ensembl. NCBI's taxonomy places the organism in Eukaryota, Metazoa, Chordata, Actinopteri, Cypriniformes, Cyprinidae.
GCUUACGGCCAUACCAACCUGGCUAUGCCCGAUCUCGUCUGAUCUUGGAAGCUAAGCAGGUUUGGGCCUGCUUAGUACUUGGAUGGGAGACCACCUGGGAAUAACAGGUGCUGUAAGCU